RNAcentral lists this ribosomal RNA (484 nucleotides) under uncultured bacterium. Its description in RNAcentral is "partial 16S ribosomal RNA". It matches the Rfam family "Bacterial small subunit ribosomal RNA", at positions 30 to 507 of the family's 1533-position model. The record is from RNAcentral.
AUUGAACGCUGGCGGCAGGCCUAACACAUGCAAGUCGAGCGGAUGAAGGGAGCUUGCUCCUGGAUUCAGCGGCGGACGGGUGAGUAAUGCCUAGGAAUCUGCCUGGUAGUGGGGGAUAACGUCCGGAAACGGGCGCUAAUACCGCAUACGUCCUGAGGGAGAAAGUGGGGGAUCUUCGGACCUCACGCUAUCAGAUGAGCCUAGGUCGGAUUAGCUAGUUGGUGGGGUAAAGGCCUACCAAGGCGACGAUCCGUAACUGGUCUGAGAGGAUGAUCAGUCACACUGGAACUGAGAAACGGUCCAGACUCCUACGGGAGGCAGCAGUGGGGAAUAUUGGACAAUGGGCGAAAGCCUGAUCCAGCCAUGCCGCGUGUGUGAAGAAGGUCUUCGGAUUGUAAAGCACUUUAAGUUGGGAGGAAGGGCAGUAAGUUAAUACCUUGCUGUUUUGACGGUACCAACAGAAUAAGCACCGGCUAACUUCGUG